GCAAGUCGAGCGGACCUCUUCGGAGGUCAGCGGCGGACGGGUGCCUUUCGUGGGCAACCUGCCUGUAAGACUGGGAUAACUCCCGGAAACCGGAGCUAAUACCGGAUAACCUUUUGAACCGCAUGGUUCAAAAUUGAAAGACGGUUAUGCUGUCACUUACAGAUGGGCCCGCGGCGCAUUAGCUAGUUGGUGAGGUAAUGGCUCACCAAGGCGACGAUGCGUAGCCGACCUGAGAGGGUGAUCGGCCACACUGGGACUGAGACACGGCCCAGACUCCUACGGGAGGCAGCAGUAGGGAAUCUUCCGCAAUGGACGAAAGUCUGACGGAGCAACGCCGCGUGAGUGAUGAAGGUUUUCGGAUCGUAAAGCUCUGUUGUCAGGGAAGAACAAGUGCGGGAGUCACUGCCCGCGCCUUGACGGUACCUGACCAGAAAGCCACGGCUAACUACGUGCCAGCAGCCGCGGUAAUACGUAGGUGGCAAGCGUUGUCCGGAAUUAUUGGGCGUAAAGCGCGCGCAGGCGGUCUUUUAAGUCUGAUGUGAAAGCCCCCGGCUCAACCGGGGAGGGUCAUUGGAAA
RNAcentral lists this ribosomal RNA (577 nucleotides) under Bacillus sp. CH11b_S. RNAcentral describes it as "bacterial SSU rRNA". It matches the Rfam family "Bacterial small subunit ribosomal RNA", at positions 57 to 632 of the family's 1533-position model. The record is from RNAcentral. Lineage: Bacteria; Bacillati; Bacillota; Bacilli; Caryophanales; Bacillaceae.